This 245-nucleotide ribosomal RNA is filed under the name uncultured bacterium. RNAcentral's name for it is "partial 16S ribosomal RNA". It matches the Rfam family "Bacterial small subunit ribosomal RNA", at positions 528 to 772 of the family's 1533-position model. The record is from RNAcentral.
UAGGGGGCGAGCGUUAUCCGGAUUUACUGGGUGUAAAGGGAGCGUAGACGGUUAGUCAAGUCUGAAGUGAAAGCCCGCGGCUCAACUGCGGAACGGCUUUGGAAACUGAGAAACUGGAGUGCUGGAGGGGCAGGCGGAAUUCCUGGUGUAGCGGAGAAAUGCGUAGAUAUCAGGAGGAACACCGGUGGCGAAGGCGGCCUGCUGGACAGUAACUGACGUUGAGGCUCGAAAGCGUGGGGAGCAAA